This 577-nucleotide ribosomal RNA is filed under the name uncultured bacterium. RNAcentral's name for it is "bacterial SSU rRNA". It matches the Rfam family "Bacterial small subunit ribosomal RNA", at positions 102 to 675 of the family's 1533-position model. The record is from RNAcentral.
ACGGGUGAGUAAUACAUCGGAACGUAUCCUGGAGUGGGGGAUAGCCCGGCGAAAGCCGGAUUAAUACCGCAUACGCUCUGAGGAGGAAAGCGGGGGACCUUCGGGCCUCGCGCUCAAGGGGCGGCCGAUGGCGGAUUAGGUAGUUGGUGGGGUAAAGGCCUACCAAGCCGACGAUCCGUAGCUGGUCUGAGAGGACGACCAGCCACACUGGGACUGAGACACGGCCCAGACUCCUACGGGAGGCAGCAGUGGGGAAUUUUGGACAAUGGGGGCAACCCUGAUCCAGCAAUGCCGCGUGUGUGAAGAAGGCCUUCGGGUUGUAAAGCACUUUUGUCCGGAAAGAAAUCAUCGGGGCCAAUACCCCUGGUGGAUGACGGUACCGGAAGAAUAAGCACCGGCUAACUACGUGCCAGCAGCCGCGGUAAUACGUAGGGUGCGAGCGUUAAUCGGAAUUACUGGGCGUAAAGCGUGCGCAGGCGGUGCUGUAAGACCGAUGUGAAAUCCCCGGGCUUAACCUGGGAACUGCAUUGGUGACUGCAGCGCUGGAGUAUGGCAGAGGGGGGUGGAAUUCCCACGU